RNAcentral lists this ribosomal RNA (393 nucleotides) under uncultured bacterium. Its description in RNAcentral is "partial 16S ribosomal RNA". It matches the Rfam family "Bacterial small subunit ribosomal RNA", at positions 523 to 918 of the family's 1533-position model. The record is from RNAcentral.
AUACGGAGGACGCGAGCGUUAUCCGGAUUCAUUGGGUUUAAAGGGUGCGCAGGCGGCCCUGCAAGUCAGCGGUGUAAGCCCGGGGCUCAACCCCGGAAGUGCCGUUGAUACUGCGUGGCUGGAAUGCGGUCGAGGCGGGCGGAACGUGGCGUGUAGCGGUGAAAUGCGUAAAUAUGCCACGGAACGCCGAUAGCGGAGGCAGCUCGCCAGGCCUGCAUUGACGCUCGGGCACGAAAGCGUGGGGAUCGAACAGGAUUAGAUACCCUGGUAGUCCACGCCGUAAACGAUGGGCGCUCGUCGUCGGCGACAGACAGUCGGCGGCCAAGCGAAAGCGAUAAGCGCCCCACCUGGGGAGUACGGUCGCAAGGCUGAAACUCAAAUGAAUUGACGGGG